This 28-nucleotide non-coding RNA is filed under the name Homo sapiens (human). The record is from RNAcentral. Lineage: Eukaryota; Metazoa; Chordata; Mammalia; Primates; Hominidae.
UGGCCACCUGACUUGGAAGAGUUGAAGC